GCGUGAGUGAUGAAGGCCUUAGGGUUGUAAAGCUCUUUCGGCGGGGACGAUGAUGACGGUACCCGCAGAAGAAGCCCCGGCUAACUCCGUGCCAGCAGCCGCGGUAAUACGGAGGGGGCUAGCGUUGCUCGGAAUUACUGGGCGUAAAGGGCGCGUAGGCGGCCUUGCAAGUCAGGCGUGAAAGCCCCGGGCUCAACCCGGGAAAUGCGCUUGGGACUGCAGGGCUCGAGGUCGGGAGAGGGUAGUGGAAUUCCCAGUGUAGAGGUGAAAUUCGU
Molecule: ribosomal RNA, 275 nt
Filed under: uncultured bacterium
Lineage: Bacteria
Description: partial 16S ribosomal RNA
Rfam family: Bacterial small subunit ribosomal RNA
Source: RNAcentral